Molecule: ribosomal RNA, 497 nt
Filed under: uncultured bacterium
Lineage: Bacteria
Description: partial 16S ribosomal RNA
Rfam family: Bacterial small subunit ribosomal RNA
Source: RNAcentral
GGUGAACGCUGGCGGCGUGCCUAAUACAUGCAAGUCGAGCGAACAGACGAGGAGCUUGCUCCUCUGCCGUUAGCGGCGGACGGGUGAGUAACACGUGGAUAACCUACCUAUAAGACUGGGAUAACUUCGGGAAACCGGAGCUAAUACCGGAUAAUAUAUUGAACCGCAUGGUUCAAUAGUGAAUGACGGUUUUGCUGUCACUUAUAGAUGGAUCCGCGCCGCAUUAGCUAGUUGGUAAGGUAACGGCUUACCAAGGCAACGAUGCGUAGCCGACCUGAGAGGGUGAUCGGCCACACUGGAACUGAGACACGGUCCAGACUCCUACGGGAGGCAGCAGUAGGGAAUCUUCGACAAUGGGCGAAAGCCUGACCGAGCAACGCCGCGUGAGUGAAGAAGGUCUUCGGAUCGUAAAACUCUGUUAUUAGGGAAGAACAGAUGUGUAAGUAACCAUGCACGUCUUGACGGUACCUAAUCAGAAAGCCACGGCUAACUACGUG